AUGUCGAGCCUGAUAGAUAUUUGGACGGUGGAGGUGGACAGGAUUCGGGCCACGAGGAGAGCGGGGGAGCCGUUCAGACCCACGGCUUCGCCCGGCGCACAAGAAGGCGGCCACGUAGCUCAGCCGUCCGGCGACGGAAAUGGAACGCCAACAGCUGAUGGUGUCAUGGCUUGGCCGGCCAGGGAUCAGGCUGCCGGCGCUGGCGCUGGCUCGCCGUCGUCGCCGGUGCUCGUCCGGGAGGACGCCUUCUUGUCCAUCCUGGUCGAUUGCUUCGGUCAGUAG
RNAcentral lists this ribosomal RNA (282 nucleotides) under Triticum aestivum (bread wheat). RNAcentral's name for it is "partial small subunit ribosomal RNA". The record is from RNAcentral. Lineage: Eukaryota; Viridiplantae; Streptophyta; Magnoliopsida; Poales; Poaceae.